Grus americana (Whooping crane) is the source of this 1009-nucleotide long non-coding RNA. RefSeq lists it as uncharacterized. The transcript has 3 exons. NCBI's taxonomy places the organism in Eukaryota, Metazoa, Chordata, Aves, Gruiformes, Gruidae. The record is from RefSeq and is a predicted model, not a curated record.
CUCCGCGCCGCCCAAUCGCGGCCCGCCCUUUCACUCCGGCCCCGCUGAACCCGCUCCGGGAGAGCCGACCCGCAAGGAGUCGCGGUUUCCGGGUCCCGCCCCGUUCUCCCUCUCAGCCCCGCUCCCGGAGGGCGCCCGGCCCGGGCAGUCCCGGCGGCAGCUGAGGCCCUUCCCGGCUUUAGGGGCUUGAACGGGAACCGGGGCCGGCCUCGCUGCGGAGCCCCUGCCCGCUCUCCCCGGCACACCGACAGCGGCUGCCGGGGCUACUGCAGCGGGGCCGCGACCCCUCGAGUCUCCCGGCAGCGGCCCCCGCGGCUGCGCGGGGCACAAGCUGGGCUCCGGGUCCCGGCAGCCAUGCCCUUGUCUCCCUCCCGGGCACGGAGCCGGGGCCCGGCGGGGCGGCGAAGCGCGCCGAGGGACCGGGAGCGGCAGCACCGAGCCCAGCUCCCGCCUGGCCCAGCUCCGCUCAGGGACGCUCCGGCUCGGCACCAGCUCGGCUCCAGCCCCGCGCUCGGCGCUUCGGCCCCGGCUCCGGCCCGGAGGCGUCUGCGCUCCCGGUGCUGGGCGCUGCGGGGAAGAGAUGAUGCUGCUGCUGCUGCUGCUGCUGCUGCUGCUUCCGACAGCUCCGGCUGAGGGGAACCCGGGCUGCUGCCCUCUCUGGCCUCAGGAAAGCUCCGGCUUGUUCCAGCUCCGGCUGAUGGACGCUCCAGCCCCGCAUGGCUGCAGCUGCAGCUCCAGCCCCGUGUGAUUUCGGCUCCCGAUGCCGCCCGCUCCAGUUUCCAGCUCGCCUUUCGCACGGGCUCAGGGACCCGCCGGCUUGUUGCAGCUCCGGCUCCUCCACGCUCCGGCCGAUGGACGUCCCACCUCGUCCCACCCCUGCCCGCUCCGGCCGAGAGACGCUCCUGCUCCUGACAGCCCCGGGGGCUUUUGUCCAGCUCCGGCCCUGCGUCAUUUUGGGCCCAGCCGAGACACCGGACGUUCCCGUUUCUCAUAGCUCCAGCCCUACCCG